Molecule: ribosomal RNA, 508 nt
Filed under: uncultured bacterium
Lineage: Bacteria
Description: partial 16S ribosomal RNA
Rfam family: Bacterial small subunit ribosomal RNA
Source: RNAcentral
GACGAACGCUGGCGGCGUGCCUAAUACAUGCAAGUCGAACGCUUCUUUCCUCCCGAGUGCUUGCACUCAAUUGGAAAGAGGAGUGGCGGACGGGUGAGUAACACGUGGGUAACCUACCCAUCAGAGGGGGAUAACACUUGGAAACAGGUGCUAAUACCGCAUAACAGUUUAUGCCGCAUGGCAUAAGAGUGAAAGGCGCUUUCGGGUGUCGCUGAUGGAUGGACCCGCGGUGCAUUAGCUAGUUGGUGAGGUAACGGCUCACCAAGGCCACGAUGCAUAGCCGACCUGAGAGGGUGAUCGGCCACACUGGGACUGAGACACGGCCCAGACUCCUACGGGAGGCAGCAGUAGGGAAUCUUCGGCAAUGGACGAAAGUCUGACCGAGCAACGCCGCGUGAGUGAAGAAGGUUUUCGGAUCGUAAAACUCUGUUGUUAGAGAAGAACAAGGACGUUAGUAACUGAACGUCCCCUGACGGUAUCUAACCAGAAAGCCACGGCUAACUAAGUG